This 778-nucleotide non-coding RNA is filed under the name Spilonota lechriaspis (apple fruit licker). The record is from RNAcentral. Lineage: Eukaryota; Metazoa; Arthropoda; Insecta; Lepidoptera; Tortricidae.
AUAAAUAAGUUUUUAUAGCUAAAAAAAUUUUUUUAAAAUUUAUUUUAUAUAUAAAUUUUAGUAAAAAAAUUUAAUUAUUUUAAUAUUAAUUAAUUAAUUUUUUGUAGUAAAUAAUAUUAAAAAUUUAAGAAAUUAAGAUUUAGUAAUAUUUAAAUUAAAAACAAAUUUUGUGCCAGCAGUUGCGGUUAUACAAAAUUUAAAUUAAAUUUUAUUAGUUAUUAAUAAAUAUUAAAUUUUAAUUUAAAUAUUAAAUUAUUAAGUGAAAUUUUAAUUUAAUUAAAAUUUAUUUAAUAAUAUAUGAUUUAAUAAAUUUAAUUAAAAACUAGGAUUAGAUACCCUAUUAUUAAAAUUUAAAUUGAAAUACUAAAAUAGUAUUUAAUUAUUUAUUGAAACUUAAAUAAUUUGGCGGUAUUUUAGUUUAUUUAGAGGAAUCUGUUUAUUAAUUGAUAAUCCACGAAUAAUUUUACUUAAUUAAAAAUUUUGUAUAUCGUUGUUAUAAAAAUAUUUUUAAAUAAAUUUAAUAUUUAAAUAUUUAUAAUAAAAAUUAAAUCAGAUCAAGAUGCAGAUUAUAAUUAAGAAUAUAAUGGAUUACAAUAAAUUUAUAUUUAAAUGGAUUUUUUAUUGAAAUAUAAAAUUGAAAGUGGAUUUAAAUGUAAUUUUAUUUAAUUAAUUAAAAUGAUUUAAAAUUAAAAUAUGUACAUAUUGCCCGUCGCUUUCAUUUAUAAAUUGAAAUAAGUCGUAACAAAGUAGAGGUACUGGAAAGUGUUUCUAGAAAGAA